This 209-nucleotide ribosomal RNA is filed under the name uncultured bacterium. Its description in RNAcentral is "partial 16S ribosomal RNA". It matches the Rfam family "Bacterial small subunit ribosomal RNA", at positions 568 to 774 of the family's 1533-position model. The record is from RNAcentral.
UGCGUAGGCGGUUGAGUAAGUCUGACGUGAAAUCUCCGGGCCUAACCCGGAAACUGCGUUGGAUACUAUUCGGCUAGAGGAAUGGAGGGGAGACUGGAAUACUUGGUGUAGCAGUGAAAUGCGUAGAUAUCAAGUGGAACACCAGUGGCGAAGGCGAGUCUCUGGACAUUUCCUGACGCUGAGGCACGAAAAGCCAGGGGGAGCAAACG